AACGAACGCUGGCGGCAUGCCUAACACAUGCAAGUCGAACGAGACCUUCGGGUAUUGUUGCGCACGGGUUCGUAACCCGUGGGAACCUUCCCUUAUGGUCGGAAUAACUCUCCGAAAGGGGUGCUAAUACCAGAUAAUGUCUUCGAACCAAAGAUUUAUCUCCUUUGGAUGGGCCCGCGUUGGAUUAGCUAGUUGGUAGGGUAAAAGCCUACCAAGGCGACGAUCCAUAGCUGGUCUGAGAGGAUGAUCAGCCACACUGGGACUGAGACACGGCCCAGACUCCUACGGGAGGCAGCAGUGGGGAAUAUUGGACAAUGGGCGAAAGCAUGAUCCAGCAAUGCCGCGUGAGUGAUGAAGGCCUUAGGGUUGUAAAGCUCUUUUACCCGGGAUGAUAAUGACAGUACCGGGAGAAUAAGCUCCGGCUAACUCCGUG
Molecule: ribosomal RNA, 433 nt
Filed under: uncultured bacterium
Lineage: Bacteria
Description: partial 16S ribosomal RNA
Rfam family: Bacterial small subunit ribosomal RNA
Source: RNAcentral